Molecule: ribosomal RNA, 693 nt
Filed under: uncultured bacterium
Lineage: Bacteria
Description: bacterial SSU rRNA
Rfam family: Bacterial small subunit ribosomal RNA
Source: RNAcentral
GAUGAACGCUGGCGGCGCACAUAAGACAUGCAAGUCGAACGAAAAUCGUUAAAAACGGAUUGAAGAUUUAUCAGAUUGAAGUUUUUAACAAUGAUUUUAGUGGCGGACUGGUGAGUAAUACGUAAGCAACCUUCCUAGUAGAGGGGAAUAACAGUGAGAAAUCAUUGCUAAUACCGCAUAUGCUCACAGUACCACAUGGUACAUUGAGGAUAGGAGCAAUCCGCUAUUAUAUGGGCUUACGCCUGAUUAGAUAGUUGGUGGGGUAACGGCCUACCAAGUCAACGAUCAGUAGCCGGACUGAGAGGUUGAACGGCCACAUUGGGACUGAGAUACGGCCCAGACUCCUACGGGAGGCAGCAGUCGGGAAUAUUGCGCAAUGGAGGAAACUCUGACGCAGUGACGCCGCGUGCAGGAAGAAGGUUUUCGGAUUGUAAACUGCUUUAGUCAAGGAAGAUACAAGACAGUACUUGAAGAAUAAGCACCGGCUAACUAUGUGCCAGCAGCCGCGGUAAUACAUAGGGUGCAGCGUUGUCCGGAAUUAUUGGGGUGUAAAGGGUUGCGUAGAUGGAAGGGCAAGUUUGGCUGUGUGAAUUCCCCUCCGGCUUAACCUGGAAGGAAACUGCAACGAACAUACUUUCUUUGUAGAGCGUUGAAGGCAAAGGAAAAUUCUACGUAACUGCUGCUGUAACAGUC